RNAcentral lists this ribosomal RNA (253 nucleotides) under uncultured bacterium. Its description in RNAcentral is "partial 16S ribosomal RNA". It matches the Rfam family "Bacterial small subunit ribosomal RNA", at positions 524 to 776 of the family's 1533-position model. The record is from RNAcentral.
UACGUAGGGUGCGAGCGUUAAUCGGAAUUACUGGGCGUAAAGCGUGCGCAGGCGGUUAUGUAAGACAGGCGUGAAAUCCCCGGGCUCAACCUGGGAAUUGCGCUUCUGACUGCAUAGCUAGAGUGUGUUAGAGGGGGGUAGAAUUCCACGUGUAGCAGUGAAAUGCGUAGAGAUGUGGAGGAAUACCAAUGGCGAAGGCAGCCCCCUGGGAUAACACUGACGCUCAUGCACGAAAGCGUGGGGAGCAAACAGG